GAGCCAGACACUGAAUUCCUUGCCUACAAUUUCAAUUAGAAAGACUCCAGAGCGUUUUCCUCAGGUGAGGACUUUGGAGCCCACUGUUUGCACCAGCUCGUAUUUAUCAUUUGUACCACACAGCGACAAAUGAGGCUGUGCCUUGGGCUGUGUGGUACUGCACCAAGAAAAAGUAGUCCCAAAUCGUUCCACAGGGAUGCUUCCAGCCUGGAUGACAUCACAUGGCAAGGCAGAGAAGCAGGCAAGCAGGCUGGAGCUCAGUGGACCAAAGGAGCGCAGGAGAUAACAAGCAGCACAACCCACAGGGAUUUGUUAACACAGAACCAGAAAGACGCAGGUUUUAUUUAGAUACAGAUAAGUGGUCCUCAGAAGAAUACAAAAGGUCCUGCUGUAAUAUUUUCUCUUCCUACUUCUGGAGCAACAAAUCUAGGAGGUUUAAGGAGUGCAAACUGGUUGAGUAACUGAAAACUUUCACUGCGGGAACUGCAGUAAUCUCCACAAAACAACUCUGCAAACCUAUCCAUUUAAGAAACAAGCAAACAAACCACCACCUCAACAAAUUUGGGAACUCCUCUCUCUGUUACUAUUAGACAUAUUUGUAGAAUGGUGGGAUGAAAUAGAAAAUAGAAGAAAAUGAUUGCUUAAUGAUAUGACAGUGCUUAUUACCAUCAACCACUGUUUUCUGAGAGCCCUGUACACAGUUUCCAGCUCAUUUUAACAAAAAGAAAAUGAAAGCAGGAUCUACAAAUACAUAACAAAUCGCUCCAUGUCCUAACACAACCCAGGGUCAAUGUCAAGGCCCUUGUAUCUCAUUAACUGCGGGAGGGCACAAAGACAACAGUAGGGAAUAACGCUACAAGAAGUCAUGGGAUGGCACGCCCUGCCUUGCUGUAUUCCUGAUGCAUUUUCUGUAGCUAAUUAAGAGCUCAGCCAGCCCCCCUGCAUGGCUCUCAGAUGUCACCUUCUCAAGCCGAGCCAGCGCUGUUAAUAACAACGCUAAUUCAGGGGCAGGAUCUUGCCCCGCGGACGCCGGGAGAAGCUCUGCUUGAAGUAGCUGCGAAUUGCACCUACAUCCCAGGUUAAUCCAGCUCACUCUGCUUCCACGUCUUUACGUGCAAGUCCGAGCAGCUGGAGGUUUAACUCAUUUCCCCCUCCUUCAUCCAGCGCUAACGGAAUUCUGAGCCAGAUGAAACCUUUCCACUGAUGUCUGGACACCGAGGAAGAAAGCAGCAGCAGCGGGAGGUGACGACACAGAGAUGCCAGCAGGACAGUGCUAAAUUGAGAUGAUGUUUGCUGUUGAUGGUUUUAAUUACAGGACUUUCCACAUGCCCACGGCAGUGCUAACAGGCAUCCUUCUUUCCCCCGCUCUUUGCCUGUAUCUCACAUGGGAAGAACCAAACAGUACCCACAUAUUUGGGUGACAAAACAAAACAAAACAAAAGUAAUCUGACUACUUGAUCAGAGGCUUAAAGGCAGAGGAGGUGCUGUUGUUAGGUCCUCACCAAGACUAUGUGAUGCAGGUCAUAAUUUAGACUAAUUAUUUUUAAAUCAAUGGGAUCACAGAAGAGGAAUGGAUAGAAGGUGAGUAUCUAAAAUUCAGGAAGCUGAUGUUUCUCCAAGGAACUAACAAAAGCUGUAGGAAGUGUGUGGAAAGCAGCCCUGUUUUCUACCUCUGCCUUCCAUUUGAAACACUGAAUAUUCUUCAUGUUGCAAACACCCUUUUUAAGUGCCUAAGAGUAACACUUUCGUGACAAAUGUAGAACAGAACAAGGGCUGUUCAAGCACCCUUUAGAUGCAAGAUUCAGGGGAUACUAUGACCCUGUAUCUGAAAAGUAUGACUAGCAGAGGUACUGCCUGAAACCCACCCUCGGUGCUCGCCCAGCUGCUCCCUCCAGUUCCUAAAGCAGCGGAAAACCAGGUGGCCGAACCUGCCUCCAUACCCUGCAGUCGGCUCAUUUAAAUUAUGUUUCACACCUAUGAAGAUGUCCUGUACUUCCUUUCUGCACUGAAUUUUUUACUGCUGAUGCCCGUGCCCCGGCAGGUUCAGCAAUGAUGCUUCCUAUUACGCUUCCUGGACCCAGGGAGCAAGGUCUCGUUACCAGGGAGCAGCGGGACGCGCUGGCUGCCACAGUUCUUUGCAGCAAUCAGCAGCAGCAAGCCGGGGAGGUCAAUUAGCAGCUUCUGGAAUGGAAGUAUACAAACCCAAGAGCUAUUAUGUCUAUUUAGCACCUACUUCAGAAACUGUAGUUAAGUACUUUGGAAACCCUAAGUUAGGAUGAGCACUUCAAAUCUUUACUUGAAGUUUCUGGUCCUCCCAUUUGAUGUCCAGGUAGCCAAGAUCAGGUUGUACUUAACACGGUGCGGGAGGUUAAAAAGCUUUGCCUCAUGAAAUAAACGUAUUAAUAAGCUGCUUGCUAUUAGCCCUGAAGUAUCAACAGGUGCAUUUUCCUUUCUGCCCUCCACUUCCUACAGGGAUUUCAGCUAUAUAGGUACACACAUAGAUCCUCUUGAGCAUCUGCUUACGUAUCAGCUUAAAUUAUUUCCUUUAGGAAACACCAGUAUUUGACAAACCCAAAAAUUACAUGUUCUUAAGAUCAGGAAGUUGCUUUUUAGAAUCAUACAAUCAUUUAUGUUGGAAAAGACCCUCAAGACCAUCGAGUCCAACUGUUAACCCAGGACUGCCAAGCCCACCACUUAACUACAUACCUAAGCACCCAUAGGUGAUUUUUUUUUUUUUAAACAGCAGACCUUUUUUAACCACCUCCAGGGAUGCUGAUGCCACCACCUGCCUGGGCAGCCUGUGCCGAUGCUUCACCACCCUUUCAGGGAAGAAAUUUUUCCUAAUAUCCAACUAAAUCUCCCCUGGUGCAACCUGAGGCUGGCUCCUCUCAUCCUGCCGCUUGUUAUCUGGGAGCAGAGACCAACCCCCCCCUCACCACCACCUCCUGUCAGGUGGCUGUAGGGAGUGAGAAGUUUCCUGCUGAGUCUCCUCUCCACGCUAAACACCCCCAGCUCCCCCUCACAGGGCUUGUUCUCCAGACCCUUCACCAGCUUUUCCACUCCUCACUGGUCAUGCUUUUAUUAAAAGUAACUUUUUUUAUUUAUUUUUUAAAGACAAAGCAGUACAUGAAUGACAGCUGGGUGUAGGUACAAUGCAAAACACAUUAGUAAAAACCUCCUGCUUUGAACAAGAAUUGACAGCAAGUACUUACUGUCCUAGCUGUUGAUAUUGAUACGCCUUAAAGUGGAUUUUAACACUGACAAGUAAUUUCCAUUAAUUAAAAGCACUAUUCAGAGAAAAAAUUAAGAGAGUUCACAGGCUCACACGAGGGUUGAGGUUGGAAGGGAGAUCUGGACAUCACCUGGUCCAGCCCCUGCUCCAGCAGGGCCAUCUACAGCCAGGUGCCCAGGUCCAUGGCCAGAUGGCUUUUGUCUAUCCCCAGGGAUGGAGACUCCACCACCUCUCUGGGCAACCUGUGCCAGGGCUCAGUCACCCUCACAGGAAAAAGUGUUUCCUGAUGUUCGGAGUUAUGUCUUGCAUUGCAUUUUGUGCCAACCGAAUCUCGUCCUAUUGCUGGGCACCACUGAGACGAGCCUCGCUCCAUCUUCUUUGCAUCCUCCAUCAGCCAUUUGUACACAUUGAUGGGAUCCCCCCGAGCCUUCUCUUCUCCAGACUGAACAGUUCCAGCUCAGUCAGCUUCUCCUUAUAGGAAAGAUGCUCCCACCCAUCAUCUUCACGGCGCUUCACUGGACUCUCUCCAACAUGCCCAUGUCUCUCUCGUAGUGAGGAGCCCAUGAAUGGACACUCUGCUCCAGACUGGCCUCCCCAGUGUUGAUUAGAAGGGAAGGAUCAUCUCAUUCAACCUGCUGGCAACACCCUCCCUGCUGCAGCCCGGGCUACCAUUAGCCUUCUCUGCUGCAAGGGCACUGCUGGCUCACCUUCAGCUUGGUCUCCAGCAGGACCCCCAGGACCUUUUCUCCAAAGCCGCUUCCCCGCUGGCUGUCCCCCUGCCGUGCUGCAUGGAAGCUGGGCUCCUCAGACAGGAGUCAACAUUUAACUGCUGCUUCUCCCUCUCUUUUCCUUGCCCGGCAGAAAGUUGCUUUUUCAAUGAGAUGCUUAGUAGGCUUUCAAGACUUCCACAACACUGAACACGGGUGCAGAGAGAGCAAACACAGCAAACUUGUCAUGAAUCUCAUGUUUCCCCACUUGGGCCCGACAGUCAGCUGAAAGGGAACGCUAAGUCCUGUAUGGACAGAACGAGCCUUUAAUCAUCCUUUUUGCUGAGCCACCACAGCCUGGGAGCCAAACACGGCUCCGUCUCAAGUCUGCGGAGCUCUGCAACAGAGGCCCCGGUGCCAUUUCUCCAACGAUCCCACCCUGCGAUCCCGCUUGCUCUGCUGAAAACAAGGCUCUUCACACCCGCUGCAACGGGCACUCUUAGCACAGCUCGCACAAGCCGCGCCAGGGACACUCAUCUUCUGACACAGCACAAGAAAAUACAAGGCACACUUCAGGAUGCCCCAAAAGGCUGGUUAAAGCAAGCGAAAAAACAAGGCUUGUGCUAUCAAAAUUCAUGCACGUGAUAGCCCCCAUUUCGGUUUGGUGCCUACAGUGAUUCCUGGUUUCAUAUGCUGGGCAUCAAAAUAGGGAAGCAGGGCAAACACUUCCAAGAAAAAUCAAACAUUGAUUAGCGUCAUUGUACAAAUAUGAUUAAAAACAAAGGACUGUGUGUUUGUGGAUAUGUUAUAUGAUACAGGUUCUAUAAACAGUAUAUUGUUUCUUAUCUCCACCUGUUUAAAUAGAGAAGUGAAUCCACAUGUGGGUGACUAAGACUUUAAAAGGACUAUUAGUUACAAAAGCACCAUCAGCAUUAUCCAAGAGGGAAAAUAACUGCAGAUAAACAUAUCCAACACUAUUUAGUAUUACAAACACUUGUAAAACAACAUAACAGAACUUGCUGAAGGAUUUCUUAUACUUUGUCACAGUAUCCCUUCAGUGAAUUUUAAAACCUGAAUAAUAUCAGAGCCCAGGCAAUUUUAACACCCAAGGAAAAAACAAUCCUUUAUCCUCUCAUAAGCACUGACACAGUGGACAGCAAUUACCCUUUGGAAUCAUUGCUGCUAACUUGAGCUCUUUGAAGAUGUGAAGUAACUGAAUGGGAAUGCACAUUUGGGGUUGGUUGGGGGUUUUUGUUCUGGUUUUGGGUUUUUUGUUUUUCUUAAGACCCAAUUAAAAGCAUGUUUACGACUCUGGAAGAUGCUGAGGUCCAUUUGACAAGUUGGUCAAAGAAACACCUACUUAACUCCAAAGACACAAGCAGCCAAACCCACACAUGCAGGAGCACUUGUGUGCUUAACUCUGACUUGGGCAAGUACUCAGGCAGGUUAGGGACACGGGGCUUGGCACCCAGCAGCGACGAGGCAUCAGGCAGUGUGCAUCAGGAAACAGGCAGGGCAUUUAAAGCUACAGAGAUACUGCAAACACCAGAGAGCAGGUAUUAAAUGCCAGUAGAAUUCAGCUAUCACCACCCUACAUGAAGCGUUAUGCUUGUUUAAAACACACGGCUUUCCUUUAAGAAUGAGGAAAAAAUCCUGGAGGAAACAAGUCAGCACUUCAGAAAUCCUCUCUCCUACGAACACUAACAACUUAUAUGCUCCUACUCCUUUCGAACUCCAUAUAAAUCAAAUUUUUGCUUUACAGUACAAAGAAAUGAGCUAUAAUUAGCAAUCAGCUGAGAUAACUUGUCCCAUCUGGCCAGGGCUGCAGGGGCUCCACCACCUAAUCAAUACAGGAGCCCUGAGCCCCCUCCUGCACAGGGGCCGAGGUCACUGCAAGCAUCUCCCCGGAGCUCUGCCCUGUAGUUCAGCCAUGCACGGCACGGGACGUCCAGCUCUCCAACACGUGCACAUCGCUUGGCUUUCUGUGUAACCCUAAGUGUGACUCAAGGUUGGGACCUCCACACGUUUGGGUCCAAAACCCCACGGAGCACUUCAGCCACAGUCUUCAAAGCCCUACAACGUGACCAAAUAAAACUCCGGGUGCUGUGUGCCUGCUUGCAAGCCAGACUACUCAACUGCCAUCCGUUUCACUGACGGCUAUUUCUGCUUCAAGAUUUCAAAACAUCCAGCUGUUGCAGUAUUUUGGUGGUUAUUUUCCCUGCUUCCCGCAGCAGAACACAACUUUUGCAUCUGUACGCUUCCCUCCUGUAAGCUUUGCUUGUAGCUUGAUUUCAGACGAUUUUAGCACAAGCUUUUGAAAAGACUGAAGGAAAUUUCAGCCUGCAAGACAGAAGUCUUAGAAAGUUAUGUCCUUCCAAGAGCAGGUGGGGUUGUGCUACAGGGUGUAGUUUACAGGGGUUAUCAGCACUGUAAGCUUUACCCUAGGGAGGUUUCACACCAAGCAUUUCUCUGAACAUUUUCUAUCACCGUCAUUGCUAAAGCAGUACACAGGAGAGCAUGCAGAAGAAAAGCAGCAUCAGUCUGAAGGUACCAAAACACCUACACAGCAUCUGAAUAACAGCAACAACCUUUUGUCAGAGUAGGAACUUCAAACGUUAUGUCUAAAGCAAUAAUCAUUACAGUAACCAUAACCAUCAAAAGUUUCUAGAAUUUCUGAUAGGUAUGCAAAAGGAAUUUGUACAUAGCCAUGCUGCUCUAAAAUUUGACUGUCCACCAUUAAAUACAUUACGGUGGUCACAAAAUAAAAUGGAGAGCGCUUUCCAAGUCAGCAAAGCUUUCAAACUACAUAAAAAAGCUGUUCCUAGCAUUAGCUUCUGCAAAGCUUAAGACCAAAUAAGCAGUUCAAAGCUCAGUAACUGAUACAAAACGCUACCACAAAAUAAGUUGCUUGUGUCAGCACAUCAACCUUCCCACCUCCCCACCUCAGCCUCUGUUCCAACACCUGGUUCCAAGAAGACAAAGGAAAUCACUAAGACCAAUAGCUCUGAAGCAGGACCAGCAAAGCUCUGGUUUGCUUGGCAGCAGCAAGCGCGUCUCUGCUCUGUGAUCUGGUCCCUUUCAAAUCAGGAAGGCUGCAAAAUCUGCUGGAAGGAAAACCCAUGAAAGCCACCAGUGCCUUUGCGCUGCACGGGUUUUGUUAUUGCAGCGUUUCCCUUCAAAGGGAAAGCCCUAAGCUUCUUUCCACAAGCCACCACCCCAAAACAUCACCUGUGAUCUCAAUGGCCUCCUAAUCACGCUAUUUUAUGGAAAGCCUAGCUUUUGGCUCAGAAUGACGUAACUCUGUUUCUGGAUUCAGUGCUAAUCCAAAAACAGUCAGAUUCGCAUUGCAGGCUGAUUUGUGGGUUUAAAUUUUUAAGACCUUUGAGUAAAUCUUACUGCUUUUAAAAAGUUACAUAUGCAGCAGUGCUGUUCUAAGUAAGAAAAAAUGUAGAGUAAUUCCAUGCAAAUAUCUAAAAAUAGGACUUAGGGGGAAAAAAAAAAUCCACCUCCUUAAAAAUGCUUGAAUUAGUAUAAGACUAGUAGAGACAAUGUUUCCUCAAGAUACGAGUGGAACCACAUCAGAAGACACGUCCAAUAUUGGCAAGCUGCGGUCAGCAUCCGAAAACCCAGCCAUGACUUUUAUGAGUGCCGUACAGUGGGAAAAGGCUCUUUCCCACAGUUGAUGCUG
RNA transcript from Falco peregrinus (peregrine falcon), 7627 nucleotides. RefSeq lists it as uncharacterized. The transcript is spliced from 2 exons. Lineage: Eukaryota; Metazoa; Chordata; Aves; Falconiformes; Falconidae. The record is from RefSeq and is a predicted model, not a curated record.